UUGGCCUACGGGACGCAGCAGUGGGGAAUAUUGCACAAUGGGGGGAACCCUGAUGCAGCGACGCCGCGUGGGUGAAGGAGUACUUCGGUACGUAAAGUCCUAUCAGCAGGAAAGAAAAUGACGGUACCUGACUAAGAAGCCCCGGCUAACUACGUGCCAGCAGCCGCGGUAAUACGUAGGGGGCAAGCGUUAUCCGGAUUUACUGGGCGUAAAGGGAGCGUAGACGGCAGUGCAAGUCCGGAGUGAAAGCCCGGGGC
RNAcentral lists this ribosomal RNA (257 nucleotides) under uncultured bacterium. RNAcentral's name for it is "partial 16S ribosomal RNA". It matches the Rfam family "Bacterial small subunit ribosomal RNA", at positions 334 to 608 of the family's 1533-position model. The record is from RNAcentral.